GUGAUGAUUAUAAUAAAUAUUUAAAACAAAUUCCUUUCAAGCUUUGUAAAAAGAAAGUUUCAUUUUAUGUAUCGGAAUGUGUAACAAGUGAAUAUUUCAAUCCCCACUGGAAGGCCUCUGACAGACUGGGUGAGCAUAAAAUCAUAGCCUUUGACAAACAAGUUACAACCUACAAACGUUUUACUGUCGACCACACUGUUAUGCAAUUAAUUCUAUGUA
This 219-nucleotide long non-coding RNA is filed under the name Mytilus galloprovincialis (Mediterranean mussel). The record is from RNAcentral. Lineage: Eukaryota; Metazoa; Mollusca; Bivalvia; Mytilida; Mytilidae.